AGUUGUCUGAGCCAAGAAGCCUUUAAGUGGUCACCUACGUCCUUUCUUAAGUUUUUAAAUCUUUUUCUGUUGCUGUCACUCGUGUUACAUCUGAGAACUAUACGUUUUUGGGGACAAGAACCAUGUUUUAUGUCUGCAAAGCACAAUGUACCUUAAUAAGAUGUAAUAAAUAACAAUUAUAUGCGGCUAAUGGAAAAUAGGAAGCAGGGAAGAAGGGCAGAAGUGUUGAAUAAUUAUUUCAUAUUCACCUAACAGAAGCAGAAUGAGGAGCUGUCUAAAGCAGGGAGCAGAUAUCUAGCCCAUUCUGAUUUUCAACAGAAAGUUGUAGUGACCAAGCUUAAAAUAUAUGAAACAUAAUUAAAACAUAGCAGGGGUGACUGGUGCCUCCUGAGGCUGUGGGGGGGUACAAUUUGUGGGUGGGCCAAAAGCCCCAUAAUCCACUCCUAUACUUCUGUGCCAUGGCUCAGUGACCGUCUCCCCCCCUCCCCCAACACACCGCCGGCCCAUGCAGCAAAAAAACUGCCCUGUCCUGAGCAGUGCUAAGUCAGGGACCAAUCUCGGGGGGGUGGGGGGGGUGCAUGUGCCUCGCCUACCAGUUGCCUGUGAAAUGUAGUUUACAGGACAGAUUCAACAAACCCUGAAAGUGAAGCUUUGCUCUGCUUCUACUGCUCUACUGCAGUUGCGUCACUGCUGUGCUAACCACACUGGAAUGCUGCAAUUAUCACCUAUGCUGGAUAGGUUGGAAAUGUUGCAUUCCACAGGUAAUAACCCCUCUCCACCUCUACUCUUUAGCCAGAUGAGAUGGAGGAACAGGAGGAGGAACCUCAGUGCUGGUGUUAUCCUCAGCAGAGGCAAGCAGAGACAGUCAAGCUGUAGGUUCUUAGUGGAAGAGGAAAGAGGCAGUCAGCUGCUGCUAACUCCUGACCUGGACAAAGAAAAUCCUUCCAUUGGUGACGUGGAAGAGGAGGCGGUGAGGGGAAGGGGAUGACGUGGGCGGAGGAAGCCUCAGACAAGCAAGCCAAGCAUCACCUGCAGGAUCAGCCCAGCCUAAACCGACAAGAGAAACAGGACCUCCAUCUAACCCAGGAGGUACACAGCCCCAC
Long non-coding RNA from Alligator sinensis (Chinese alligator), 1103 nucleotides. RefSeq lists it as uncharacterized. The record is from RefSeq and is a predicted model, not a curated record. The transcript has 3 exons. NCBI's taxonomy places the organism in Eukaryota, Metazoa, Chordata, Crocodylia, Alligatoridae.